This 651-nucleotide long non-coding RNA is filed under the name Bos taurus (domestic cattle). Its description in RNAcentral is "long non-coding RNA NONBTAT011091". Lineage: Eukaryota; Metazoa; Chordata; Mammalia; Artiodactyla; Bovidae. The record is from RNAcentral.
GGUGAUACCACUAGUAUUAAAAUUGAGACUAUAGGAAGUUUUAUGGAUUUUGUUUUAGAAGUUUAUAGCAGUUGACACAGGUUCUGGCAAGCAAAUUAGAAUAUGGCAAUAAAGUAAAAAGACAAGAUACACUCAGAACUCCUGGCCUGCUUCUCAGACUGAUCCUGUUUUCCAUUUUUAAAUUAAAAUUUGUUUUCACUGACAAGUUAAAGACUCUGUAGAAUAUAGCCACUUUUCUGACAUUAGGAUUAUUAUGAAGGAUAACUGAAAAAGCACUGAAGUUAAUACCUUUCAUGUUAGAUGUAAAAAUCAAUUACAGUCAUUUCUGAUAGUAGAUCUCUAUUGUUGGUCCUUGAUGGUGUGAUUCCAACCAGCAGAAGAAGCUAUUGGAUGUCCAGGGUUGCCUUUAGCUGUUGGCCUUUCCACUGGGCUCUUGCAUUUCAUAGCGCAGAGUGAGCUAAUGUAAUAAUGAGUAACAUUAUUAGCUAAUGUAAUAAUGAGUAAUGUAGGUAACAUAGAUACCUACAUGCACAUACAUGCAGCUGGUGGACAAAACAACUUCUAAGAGCAAAAUAGCUAUAUAUGUGAGGUAUGCUUAUCUAAUUUAAAAUGUUACAUUAAAAUGUAUCCACAAUGUGAAUAUCUCACAUG